AUGGGUUCAGUCCAGAAUACUUUGGUUAUCUGGUCAGCCAAGCCUUCCUCUCCCCUCUCUCCAGCCUUUGCUCAGAAAGCUUCUAACUGUAUUGGGCACACUGACAUUUUUCUUAGUCUCUUAGCUCCCCUGUUUGCACACUUAAAACUAUUAACACAUUCUUUAGAAUCAACUGGCUGUAAUUUUUCUUUAAUUUUUUUUUUAAAUUUUUACAGUCACACAGAGAUAGUCACACAGAGAGAAAGAGAGGCAGAGACACAGGCAGAGGGAGAAGCAGGCUCCAUGCACCGGGAGCCCGACGUGGGAUUCGAUCCCGGGUCUCCAGGAUCGCGCCCUGGGCCAAAGGCAGGCGCUAAACCGCUGCACCACCCAGGGAUCCCUCAACUGGCUAUAAUUAACUGGCGUAAAUCAGGCACUAAAUAGCAUUUAUUGGAUGGAUGGAUGGAUGAAUGGAUGGAUGGGUGGAUGGAUAGCACAGCACAUGACAGUGAGGUAUGAGACCUAAGAAAAAGGGACAUCAGUCAAAAUUAGAGUUAGUUAUUGCAGGUUCAUUGCCCUAUUCCAUGCAUUUAGGUGAUGCCUCCCCACUGCUUCCACAAUUGCAGGCGAUACACCACUCCUGCCUCCAAAGAGAUUGGAGGACAAAAUGAAUGCUCCCAGAGGAAAGCCCUUCACCUAUUAACCUUGGGAAGUUCUCCAAUGUAAAUGCCAGCUCAUCUGAUCAAUCCUAUUGUAGGGAACUGCACCCCACUAAUGAGUCUUACCCACGGUGAAAACCUUCAAUUAGCUUUAACCAUUAAAAAAAAAAAAAACGGCUUUAUUGAGUAUAAAUGAUUUGCAAUAAACUGCAAAUGAACAUUUUCAUGAUACCUGUUAAACCAUCACCAAGAUAAACAUUUUCGCCACUCCCCAGAGUUUCCAUAUAAUCCAUUCCUCCUUCAACUUCUAAACUCAGGUAAGGACGGAUCUGCUUUCUGUCAUUAGGGGUCAAUUUGCGUUUUCUCAAAUUUUAAAUAAAUGGAGUCAUACAGUAUGUAUUCUUUUUUCAUCUGGCUUCUUUUACUCGGUAUAAGGAUAUUGAGAUUCAUCUGGGUUUCAUGUAUUAAUAGUUCAUUUCUUUUUUAUUGCUGAUAGUAUUCCAUGAUAUGGAGGUAUCACACUAUGUCUAUUCAUAUACCUUUUGAUGCAGUAUUUUACUAUUACAAAUAAAGCUGCUAUGAACAUUUGUUUACAGGUAUACAAUUCUUUAUAAUUAUAUUGGGAAGGUGGGAGGAGAGAAAGAGUAGAGGGUGGUGUUAUAAGAAAACUAAAUCCUUAACCAACAUAAAAGGACAUUAACGAGUACUUUUUAAAAUUGUUAAAUCAAGAAAUAGCUGUAUAAGCAUAUUGCUCUAUUUAAACAUAAGGAGGGACUCCUGGUUGGCUCAGUGGUUGAGCGUCUGCCUUUGGCUCAGGGCGUGAUCCUGGAAUUCUGGGAUUGAGUCCCACAUUGGGCUCCCUGCAUGGAGCCUGCUUCUCCCUCUCCCUAUGUCUCUGCCUCUCUCUGCGCGUCUCUCAUGAAUAAAUAAAUAAAAUCUUAAAAAGAUUAAAAAUAAAAUAAACAUAAGGAGAUGGGCGCCUGGGUGGCUCAGUUGGUUAAGCAGCCAGCUCUUGGUUUCUGCUCCGGUCAUAAUCUCAGGGUCCUGGGAUCCAGGCCUGAGUCAGGUUCCACUCUCAGUGUGGAGUCGGCUUGGGUUUUUCUCACUCUCUCCCUUUGCCCCUCUCCCUGCUUGUGCUCACACACUCUCUCUAAAAUAAAUAAAAAUCUUUUUAAAAAAACAAGGAGAUAGGGAUGGCUCAGCGGUUGAGUGUCUGCCUUUGGCUCAGGGCAUGAUCCUGAGGUCCUGGGAUUGAG
RNAcentral lists this long non-coding RNA (1894 nucleotides) under Canis lupus familiaris (dog). Its description in RNAcentral is "lncRNA (ENSCAFG00805007017.1, ENSCAFG00845013750.1)". Lineage: Eukaryota; Metazoa; Chordata; Mammalia; Carnivora; Canidae. The record is from RNAcentral.